ACAGACCCAAAACAAUAAUAAUCGGCGUAAAGCACGACUAAAAUAACAGUUAGUUACUAGGAAGUAAAACUAAGCUGGGCUGUAAAAAGCCAUAAGCCACAAUAAACCACCUACAAACCAAACAUAUUCCACUCGUGAAAGUUAGGGCACAAACUAAGAUUAGAUACCUUACUAUGCCUAACUGUAACACAACAAUUAAAUAACCAAUUGUUCGCCAAAUAACUACGAGUAAAAACUUAAAAUUUAAAAGACUUGGCGGUACUUCAUAACAACCUAGAGGAGCCUGUCUAAUAACCGAUACUCCACGAUUAACCCAACCCCCCCUAGCCUAACAGUCUAUAUACCGCCGUCGCCAGCCUACCUUAUGAAAGAAACAAAGUAAGCCUAAUAGUCACCACACUAACACGACAGGUCGAGGUGUAACUCAUGGGGCGGGUAAGAUGGGCUACAUUUUCUAAUACAGAAAAUACGAAUAAACCAUGAAAAAGAAACUGAAGGCGGAUUUAGCAGUAAACUAAGAACAAACAUACUUAGUCGAAAAUAAAGCAAUGAAGUGCGUACACACCGCCCGUCAUCCCUGUCAACACUUAUCAAACAUAAAUAAUAAGAAUAACAACCCCUAA
RNAcentral lists this ribosomal RNA (623 nucleotides) under Lytorhynchus maynardi (Maynard's longnose sand snake). Its description in RNAcentral is "partial 12S ribosomal RNA". The record is from RNAcentral. Lineage: Eukaryota; Metazoa; Chordata; Lepidosauria; Squamata; Colubridae.